Molecule: non-coding RNA, 29 nt
Filed under: Rattus norvegicus (Norway rat)
Lineage: Eukaryota; Metazoa; Chordata; Mammalia; Rodentia; Muridae
Source: RNAcentral
UUCAAUACGGUGGGCAUGUGGUCUAGGAA